GACGAACGCUGGCGGCGUGCUUAACACAUGCGAGUCGAACGGAAAGGCCCUGCUUUUGUGGGGUGCUCGAGUGACGAACGGGUGAGUAACACGUGAGUAACCUGCCCUUGACUUUGGGAUAACUUCAGGAAACUGGGGCUAAUACCGGAUAGGAGCUCCUGCUGCAUGGUGGGGGUUGGAAAGUUUCGGCGGUUGGGGAUGGACUCGCGGCUUAUCAGCUUGUUGGUGGGGUAGUGGCUUACCAAGGCUUUGACGGGUAGCAGGCCUGAGAGGGUGACCGGCCACAUUGGGACUGAGAUACGGCCCAGACUCCUACGGGAGGCAGCAGUGGGGAAUAUUGCACAAUGGGCGGAAGCCUGAUGCAGCAACGCCGCGUGCGGGAUGACGGCCUUCGGGUUGUAAACCGCUUUCGCCUGUGACGAAGCGUGAGUGACGGUAAUGGGUAAAGAAGCACCGGCUAACUACGUG
RNAcentral lists this ribosomal RNA (468 nucleotides) under uncultured bacterium. RNAcentral's name for it is "partial 16S ribosomal RNA". It matches the Rfam family "Bacterial small subunit ribosomal RNA", at positions 28 to 507 of the family's 1533-position model. The record is from RNAcentral.